CAGCCUUAAGCUCUGAAAGACCCAUCCAGAACAGGUGGAGCUCCAGCUGCAAAGAGCUUGAAAGUCAAAAGAACCACCUCAAAUGGCAAGAUUCCUACGCAGCCGGAGCCGGAGCCUCAGUCGCCGCCGUCGGAGGAGGCGACGGGGAGGUAAAGGAGGAAGGAGGAGAAGGGGAAGACGUGGCCGCGGCAGAAGGAGAGGUCGCAGACAUGGCCGCAGAAGGAGAAGAGGGAGAGGCAAGAAAGAUUAAAUCCCAUCUACUAUGAUUCCUUCAUCUCACAUUCCUGGCACUGCCUGCCUCUUUAGAGAACCUGCCAAACAAUGAAAACCUCCUCACGAGAACACCCAGAUUGACUCCCCCGAGAAACAACGAGGCUGAAACAAUUUGAACAAUACCACCUGUCAAUAAACACUGAUGUUUUA
Long non-coding RNA from Crotalus tigris (Tiger rattlesnake), 423 nucleotides. RefSeq lists it as uncharacterized. The record is from RefSeq and is a predicted model, not a curated record. The transcript is spliced from 2 exons. Lineage: Eukaryota; Metazoa; Chordata; Lepidosauria; Squamata; Viperidae.